This is a long non-coding RNA of Cylas formicarius (sweet potato weevil), 2240 nucleotides long. RefSeq lists it as uncharacterized. NCBI's taxonomy places the organism in Eukaryota, Metazoa, Arthropoda, Insecta, Coleoptera, Brentidae. The record is from RefSeq and is a predicted model, not a curated record. The transcript has 3 exons.
ACAAACCACAUUUUUCGCAUGCUUUGUAAUUUUUUUCAAGCGUAAGAUAACAUAGCUUAAUUUUUUCAACAAGUUCAUUAUCACGCAAUUCUAACCUGAAAAGACGUUUUUGACCAACAAUUACGAGUACACAAAAAACUCGGUGCUCUCCGGCAUUGUUUGAAGAUGGAAGUAAAAAAUGGUUUUUAUAGGAUGUGAUAUUUGCGAUUUAGUAGAAUUUCAUUCUCAUGUUGAUACCAAAAAGAGACUACCAAUGAUGCAUUGGAAAUUAUUAAAGAAAUAGUAAAAUAAUAAGUAAAUAAAAAAAAUAUUGGGUUAAGUAUAUCAUCCAAUUCUUAAGAGUUCAGCCCAAAUCGUUGAAAUACGUAUCCGUAUCUAAACCCAAACUGCUUUGAACAGUCGAAUCGGUUGGUUAAAAUGAGAAUUUGAAACCACCGCGUUGCGGCACUUAUCUGUCCAUGGGCCCUUGUCAACAUUUUUCACCUUAGCUUCAAAAGCCCUGUAUUAUCAUGCAAGGCCGCAAUAUAUCUAGUACCUAUAUGACUGCGUGAAGUUCCGGUCGUAGUCGACUGCAAAACGUUUUAAAUGGAAGACCCUAUAUAUUCGAUACUUAAAAUUCUAUAGUAACACACAUUGUUUCCACUAAUUUCAAUAGGUUCUCAGACAUCUUGGUAAAAACAAACAUAUUUUUUUACUAUAAUCCCCUCUGUCCAUAUCAGUUCAAAACCACAAAUUUAUAUCACAGCGAUUCUGCGCAUUAAGAAAAUGUGAAACAAAUAAAAUAAAGGGUAACGUCAGUGCUUUGAUAAAAAUUAUUCUGGGAUAUCAUUAAGCUCAGACUUUUACAUCACAGACGUUUGGCAUCAAUUUAAAAACUUGACUACAACUGUUCAUUUUUCAUUACAGCUUGGAGCAUUUUAUCUUACAGGUGCAAGUGACUAAGAAAAAUUGUUGCAAUGUUGCAAUAUGGUCUGGAGUUCCGGGGUGUCUGCGUCUACAGUUCUCCGGGGCGCGUGGGUUUACCGCUCCAGAGAGUGAGAAACUAAACUGUAAGAUAAAAUAUUUUAAGAACGGCCACUGAGAGAAUGAAUGAACACUGUCAAAAUUAUGAACAUGAAGCUGUAGAGACUAGUUCCGUAACACUUAUAGUGACUAAUAAUUAAAAUUUAUUUAUACGAAGAUAACCACCUACGUCGCUAUCAGAAGAAAAUUCGACUAGUUCAGAGGUUAAUAAUACACUGGAAUUGAAAGAAAUAGUGGAUGAAUAAUGAAAGAAAUAAAAAUGAAAACCCUGGAGCAUUACCAAGGAUUAUUUUAAGAUGUGAAUGCAUAUUCUAUUGCCAUUGAUAAAUCGUGAGGUUCAAGGACUUUUCGGAAAAUAAAAACAUAGAUCAAAGUCAAAAAAGUCAUCGUUCAAAUAUUUGUGCUUUGAUUGGCUUGGUGUCAAUAUUGAAUUUCAAUAUCAGUGAUAUAUUUGGGAGGUUCUUUUGUGAGCAAGAUAGGAUUGAAGACAUAUAGUAGUGUAGUUGUGUAUAGUGAAUAGUAAUGUGACUUUGUAUUUUGGGUUCCAUUGUGUUUUACGUUUACGUAACUUUUUUUAUAUAUAAUUUUACCGUCGCCGUUUGACGAAUACAAAUAAUUGUAUAAGAUUUUAAAGCAAUAUGAUUCAACACGGAUUUCAAACAAUGGUCAAGAAAUACAGUCAAUACAUAUUCUGGUAACCAGUAUAUCAACAGUGCCCGAAAUAUAUAUAUUAUUAUCAACAAAAGUCUAUUCCAAUAUUUACGUUAAUUUCCGAUUAAAUUGAUUUUCAGACUAUUUCGGAACAAAAUUCAACUAAAACUAAGUAAAGCCAUGUAUAUUUCGAGCACUGAAAAUACUUUUUUUUCGGCUACUUUUGAUAAAUAGGUGUUUAACCACAAUAGAUAUGUAAUAUAUACACUGUACUUUAUUAAAUAUUUACAAAUUACCUAUUUUUCCAUUCGGUUAGUUAGCUUUUCAAAACUUUUUACAAUUAGUAAUAUUUCUUUAGAACCUUAACAUGCAAUUAAGGACAGCCUAUACAAUCCAUUCACAAGCUUUACAUUUUUCUUUUCUAGUGCUCCUAAUAGUGUUAAACUACCACCAUCACCAAAAUGAGAAAAAAAAACAUAUUCAUAUUCUGCAAGUUUUUUUGAGUAUAUUCUCAAGCUCGUAAUAAUAAUUCUUGUUAAGUAUUCUUGCUUUGGCAUUAUUUUACA